RNAcentral lists this transfer RNA (84 nucleotides) under Candidatus Harrisonbacteria bacterium CG10_big_fil_rev_8_21_14_0_10_45_28. RNAcentral's name for it is "tRNA-Leu". It matches the Rfam family "tRNA". Rfam says of the family: Transfer RNA (tRNA) molecules are approximately 80 nucleotides in length. Their secondary structure includes four short double-helical elements and three loops (D, anti-codon, and T loops). The record is from RNAcentral. Lineage: Bacteria; Candidatus Harrisoniibacteriota.
GCCAGAGUGCUGAAAUUGGCAGACAGGCACGCCUCAGAAGCGUGUGUCCAUACGGACGUGUGGGUUCGAGUCCCACCUCUGGCA